ACAUAACCCUUCCAAAUCUACAACAACACUAGCCUUUGUCAUCUCCUCCCCUGGCAUCCAUAGCGGCCACGUCGUCUUUGUCACUCUCCCAAUAUUCUUGCCAUGAACGAGCUCUACAUCAUCAUGGCCUUCAUUGGCAUCAUCCUCAACAACAUCUAUACUCGCAUCAUCUUUGCCACACCCCUUCUUCCCUUUCAUUUGGGCCACAUAGAGGAGCAAAAGAACAAAAGCAAACGAAAAAAAUUUGAGUGUGAAAUUAAUUGAAGUGAAGUGAGG
This 276-nucleotide long non-coding RNA is filed under the name Glycine max (soybean). RNAcentral describes it as "long non-coding RNA (GMAX_LNC000323)". The record is from RNAcentral. Lineage: Eukaryota; Viridiplantae; Streptophyta; Magnoliopsida; Fabales; Fabaceae.